RNAcentral lists this ribosomal RNA (508 nucleotides) under uncultured bacterium. RNAcentral's name for it is "bacterial SSU rRNA". It matches the Rfam family "Bacterial small subunit ribosomal RNA", at positions 17 to 518 of the family's 1533-position model. The record is from RNAcentral.
UCCUGGCUCAGGAUGAACGCUAGCGGCAGGCUUAACACAUGCAAGUCGAGGGGCAGCGCGGGUAGCAAUACCUGGCGGCGACCGGCGAAAGGGUGAGUAACGCGUGAGCAACAGUGCCCGAUACUGGGGGAUAGUCGAUGGAAACGUCGCGUAAUACCCCGUAACACAUUCCCUCGCAUGGGGGUUUGUUGAAAGAUUGAUUGGUAUCGGAUUGGCUCGCGUGCCAUUAGGUAGACGGCGGGGUAACGGCCCACCGUGCCGACGAUGGCUAGGGGUUCUGAGAGGAAGGUCCCCCACAUUGGAACUGAGACACGGUCCAGACUCCUACGGGAGGCAGCAGUGAGGAAUAUUGGACAAUGGCCGGAAGGCUGAUCCAGCCAUGCCGCGUGCGGGAUGAACCGGCCCUAUGGGUUGUAAACCGCUUUUGCGGGGGAGCAAUAAGAGCAACGUGUUGCUCGAUGAGAGUACCCUGCGAAUAAGCAUCGGCUAACUCCGUGCCAGCAGCAGC